AACGAACGCUGGCGGCAUGCCUAACACAUGCAAGUCGAACGAUGCCUUCGGGCAUAGUGGCGCACGGGUGCGUAACGCGUGGGAAUCUGCCUUUCGGUUCGGAAUAACUCAGGGAAACUUGAGCUAAUACCGGAUAACGUCGCAAGACCAAAGAUUUAUCACCGAAGGAUGAGCCCGCGUAGGAUUAGCUAGUUGGGGAGGUAAAGGCUCACCAAGGCGACGAUCCUUAGCUGGUCUGAGAGGAUGAUCAGCCACACUGGGACUGAGACACGGCCCAGACUCCUACGGGAGGCAGCAGUGGGGAAUAUUGGACAAUGGGCGAAAGCCUGAUCCAGCAAUGCCGCGUGAGUGAUGAAGGCCUGAGGGUCGUAAAGCUCUUUUACCCGGGAAGAUAAUGACGGUACCGGGAGAAUAAGCCCCGGCUAACUCCGUG
RNAcentral lists this ribosomal RNA (433 nucleotides) under uncultured bacterium. RNAcentral describes it as "partial 16S ribosomal RNA". It matches the Rfam family "Bacterial small subunit ribosomal RNA", at positions 29 to 507 of the family's 1533-position model. The record is from RNAcentral.